AGCAGAGUCAGCUAAACAAGCUUUUGGGCCCAUACCCCAAACAUGCAGGUUAAACCCCUGCCUCUGCAA
Molecule: transfer RNA, 69 nt
Filed under: Polynemus paradiseus (paradise threadfin)
Lineage: Eukaryota; Metazoa; Chordata; Actinopteri; Polynemidae
Description: tRNA-Met
Source: RNAcentral